RNAcentral lists this ribosomal RNA (253 nucleotides) under uncultured bacterium. RNAcentral's name for it is "partial 16S ribosomal RNA". It matches the Rfam family "Bacterial small subunit ribosomal RNA", at positions 524 to 776 of the family's 1533-position model. The record is from RNAcentral.
UACGUAGGGACCAAGCGUUGUUCGGAUUUACUGGGCGUAAAGGGCGCGUAGGCGGCGUGACAAGUCACUUGUGAAAUCUCCGGGCUUAACUCGGAACUGCCAAGUGAUACUGUCGUGCUAGAGUGCAGAAGGGGCAAUCGGAAUUCUUGGUGUAGCGGUGAAAUGCGUAGAUAUCAAGAGGAACACCUGAGGUGAAGACGGGUUGCUGGGCUGACACUGACGCUGAAGCGCGAAAGCGUGGGGAGCGAUCCGG